UGGGGAAUUUUGGACAAUGGGCGAAAGCCUGAUCCAGCAAUGCCGCGUGUGUGAAGAAGGCCUUCGGGUUGUAAAGCACUUUUGUCCGGAAAGAAAUCCUUGGCUCUAAUACAGUCGGGGGAUGACGGUACCGGAAGAAUAAGCACCGGCUAACUACGUGCCAGCAGCCGCGGUAAUACGUAGGGUGCAAGCGUUAAUCGGAAUUACUGGGCGUAAAGCGUGCGCAGGCGGUUUGCUAAGACCGAUGUGAAAUCCCCGGGCUCAACCUGGGAACUGCAUUGGUGACUGGCAGGCUAGAGUAUGGCAGAGGGGGGUAGAAUUCCACGUGUAGCAGUGAAAUGCGUAGAGAUGUGGAGGAAUACCGAUGGCGAAGGCAGCCCCCCUGGGCCAAUACUGACGCUCAUGCACGAAAAGCGUGGGGGAGCAAAACAGGAUUAGAUACCCCUGGUAGUCCACGCCCUAAAACGAUGUCAACUAGUUGUUGGGGAUUCAUUUCCUUAGUAACGUAGCUAACGCGUGAAGUUGACCGCCUGGGGAGUACGGUCGCAAGAUUAAAACUCAAAUGAAUUGACGGGGUCAUAGCUGUUU
This 588-nucleotide ribosomal RNA is filed under the name uncultured bacterium. RNAcentral describes it as "partial 16S ribosomal RNA". It matches the Rfam family "Bacterial small subunit ribosomal RNA", at positions 355 to 935 of the family's 1533-position model. The record is from RNAcentral.